UGUUCGUGUUUAUUUUUUUAGUUCAACGAGGGAAAUCGUUCAAGAUAACAAUCUGUUCAUGCUUUACUUUUUAGUUCAAAGAGGGAAACCGUUCAUUCCAAGUAUCAGUUAAUGGGAUUUUUAUGUUAAAGGAAGGAAAUCGUUCAUGUUUAGAAUCCGUUCAUGCUUUAUUAUUUAGGAUUCUGGGAUAUGAUUCUGGGAUAUUUGUCAUUCAGUUCAUUAGGUAGUAUGACGAAAAUCAUUCUCAAAUGUUAGAUUCUAAUUCUUUUUCAUUAUUCAGUAUUAACAUUAUGCAUUGGUUUUACAUUUAAGUUCUGACAUGUUAGAAAAAUUUCCAUACUACUUAUACACUGGUUUUAAUUUAAUAUAUAUAUGUGUGUUCAAAAUGGGUCGACCUUCAAGCAUCCGUGAAAUAAUCACUACUCAGAUUGUGUUGAACAAGUUUAACGAGCAUCAGGUUCCAUUGGCUAGACAAUUUAUUGCUAAACAUGCUCCACACCUCCUUCAUUGACCAAAAUUCACAUCUUCUUCUAGUAGUAAAAGAUGAAAAUCCACCAAAGUAUUAGCAAGACAAGAACACACCAGCAGCUAUCCAGGAAAUGCUUCUCCUACAAGGCAAGAAGAGGCACAUAACAUUUGGGAAUGAAAGCAUGAAAAUUGAGUUUCAGUGAAUCAGAACAAUAGUUAGGGGGAUUAGGCAAAAAAUAACAAAUGGGCAUGUGCUGUGUUUGAAGUGAUAAACAUGAAUUCAGUGUACCUUGGUUGGAAUUAUUUCUGUCUAUUCUUGUCAGAACAUACUGUCAAUAUUUCACAUUCCUGUGUUUCUCCCUAUAGGAGUUCAUUUCACUACUUAGUUACAAACUGUAUUCAUGGUCACUACUUAGUUUCUAGGCAAUGCAGAAAUGUGACAGCACGAACUGUAUUCAUGGUCAUGCAGAAAAAGCCCCCCGAUUCUAGAAGAAACAGUCACAGAGAAUAAGCUAGCAACCAUCGAAACAGAAGAAAA
This is a long non-coding RNA of Lolium perenne, 1006 nucleotides long. RefSeq lists it as uncharacterized. Lineage: Eukaryota; Viridiplantae; Streptophyta; Magnoliopsida; Poales; Poaceae. The record is from RefSeq and is a predicted model, not a curated record.